GAUGAAGAACGUAGCGAAAUGCGAUAAGUAAUGUGAAUUGCAGAAUUCAGUGAAUCAUCGAGUCUUUGAACGCACAUUGCGCCCCCUGGUAUUCCGGGGGGCAUGCCUGUCCGAGCGUCAUUGCCGCCCUCAAGCACGGCUUGUGUGUUGGGCCCCCGCCCCCCGGCUUCGGGGGGCGGGCCCGAAAGGCAGCGGCGGCACCGCGUCCGGUCCUCGAGCGUAUGGGGCUUCGUCACCCGCUCUGUAGGCCCGGCCGGCGCCCGUCGGCGACCCCAAUCAAUCUUUCCAGGUUGACCUCGGAUCAGGUAGGGAUACCCGCUGAACUUAAGCAUAUCAAUAAGCGGAGGA
RNAcentral lists this unclassified non-coding RNA (348 nucleotides) under soil metagenome. Its description in RNAcentral is "partial contains 5.8S ribosomal RNA, internal transcribed spacer 2, and large subunit ribosomal RNA". The stretch from base 1 to 120 matches the Rfam family "5.8S ribosomal RNA", at positions 35 to 154 of the family's 154-position model. The record is from RNAcentral.